RNAcentral lists this ribosomal RNA (216 nucleotides) under Glomeromycotina sp. RNAcentral describes it as "partial small subunit ribosomal RNA". The stretch from base 54 to 216 matches the Rfam family "Eukaryotic small subunit ribosomal RNA", at positions 700 to 864 of the family's 1831-position model. Lineage: Eukaryota; Fungi; Glomeromycota. The record is from RNAcentral.
GGGUCAGUAGGUUGGUCGUGCCACCGGUACGUACUGGUCUCACUGAUUCCCCCUUCCUGAAGAACCGUAAUGCCAUUAAUUUGGUGUUGCGGGGAAACAGGACUGUUACUUUGAAAAAAUUAGAGUAUUUAAAGCAAGCUAACGCUUGAAUACAUUAGCAUGGAAUAAUGAAAUAGGACGAUCGAUCCUAUUUUGUUGGUUUCUAGGAUUGACGUA